UUAAGUUCAGCGGGUAUCCCUACCUGAUUCGAGGUCAAAAUGGGGGUGAUCUUGAUGGACGCAAGCCCGACGGAUCCUCAAGGAGCGCAAAGUGCUGCGCAAGAGGCCGGCAAGCCGCUGCCAAUUAUUUUGGGGCGAGUCCGCGUUAGUUACGCAGACAAACGCCCAACACCAAGCAGUGCUUGAGGGGUUAAAUGACG
This 200-nucleotide unclassified non-coding RNA is filed under the name Digitodesmium sp. Its description in RNAcentral is "partial internal transcribed spacer 2". Lineage: Eukaryota; Fungi; Ascomycota; Dothideomycetes; Pleosporales. The record is from RNAcentral.